Molecule: ribosomal RNA, 254 nt
Filed under: uncultured bacterium
Lineage: Bacteria
Description: partial 16S ribosomal RNA
Rfam family: Bacterial small subunit ribosomal RNA
Source: RNAcentral
UACGUAGGGCGCAAGCGUUGUCCGGAUUUAUUGGGCGUAAAGAGCUCGUAGGUGGUUCGGUAAGUCGGAUGUGAAAUCUCCAGGCUCAACCUGGAGGGGUCAUUCGAUACUGCCGUGACUAGAGUUCGGUAGGGGAGUGUGGAAUUCCUGGUGGAGCGGUGAAAUGCGCAGAUAUCAGGAGGAACACCCGUAGCGAAGGCGGCACUCUGGGCCGAUACUGACACUGAGGAGCGAAAGCGUGGGGAGCGAACAGG